GGAGGCAGAGGCAGGAGGA
Molecule: microRNA, 19 nt
Filed under: Mus musculus (house mouse)
Lineage: Eukaryota; Metazoa; Chordata; Mammalia; Rodentia; Muridae
Description: mmu-miR-709
Gene: mmu-miR-709
Source: miRBase by way of RNAcentral